UAGGGAAUCUUCGGCAAUGGGGGGAACCCUGACCGAGCAACGCCGCGUGAGUGAAGAAGGUUUUCGGAUCGUAAAGCUCUGUUGUUAAGGAAGAACGAGUGUGAGAAUGGAAAGUUCAUGCUGUGACGGUACUUAACCAGAAAGGGACGGCUAACUACGUUCCAGCAGCCGCGGUAAUACGUAGGUCCCGAGCGUUGUCCGGAUUUAUUGGGCGUAAAGCGAGCGCAGGCGGUUAGAAAAGUCUGAAGUGAAAGGCAGUGGCUCAACCAUUGUAGGCUUUGGAAACUGUUUAACUUGAGUGCAGAAGGGGAGAGUGGAAGUCCAUGUGUAGCGGUGAAAUGCGUAGAUAUAUGGAGGAACACCGGUGGCGAAAGCGGCUCUCUGGUCUGUAACUGACGCUGAGGCUCGAAAGCGUGGGGAGCGAACAGG
Molecule: ribosomal RNA, 429 nt
Filed under: Bacteroidota bacterium
Lineage: Bacteria; Pseudomonadati; Bacteroidota
Description: Bacteroidetes bacterium partial 16S ribosomal RNA
Rfam family: Bacterial small subunit ribosomal RNA
Source: RNAcentral